Molecule: ribosomal RNA, 465 nt
Filed under: uncultured bacterium
Lineage: Bacteria
Description: partial 16S ribosomal RNA
Rfam family: Bacterial small subunit ribosomal RNA
Source: RNAcentral
CCUACGGGCGGCAGCAGUAGGGAAUCUUCCACAAUGGGCGAAAGCCUGAUGGAGCAACGCCGCGUGGGUGAAGAAGGUCUUCGGAUCGUAAAACCCUGUUGUUAGAGAAGAAAGUGCGUGAGAGUAACUGUUCACGUUUCGACGGUAUCUAACCAGAAAGCCACGGCUAACUACGUCCCAGCAGCCGCGGUAAUACGUAGGUGGCAAGCGUUAUCCGGAUUUAUUGGGCGUAAAGGGAACGCAGGCGGUCUUUUAAGUCUGAUGUGAAAGCCUUCGGCUUAACCGGAGUAGUGCAUUGGAAACUGGGAGACUUGAGUGCAGAAGAGGAGAGUGGAACUCCAUGUGUAGCGGUGAAAUGCGUAGAUAUAUGGAAGAACACCAGUGGCGAAAGCGGCUCUCUGGUCUGUAACUGACGCUGAGGUUCGAAAGCGUGGGUAGCAAACAGGAUUAGAUACCCUUGUAGUC